RNAcentral lists this ribosomal RNA (484 nucleotides) under uncultured bacterium. RNAcentral describes it as "partial 16S ribosomal RNA". It matches the Rfam family "Bacterial small subunit ribosomal RNA", at positions 30 to 507 of the family's 1533-position model. The record is from RNAcentral.
AUUGAACGCUGGCGGCAGGCCUAACACAUGCAAGUCGAGCGGAUGAAGGGAGCUUGCUCCUGGAUUCAGCGGCGGACGGGUGAGUAAUGCCUAGGAAUCUGCCUGGUAGUGGGGGAUAACGUCCGGAAACGGGCGCUAAUACCGCAUACGUCCUGAGGGAGAAAGUGGGGGAUCUUCGGACCUCACGCUAUCAGAUGAGCCUAGGUCGGAUUAGCUAGUUGGUGGGGUAAAGGCCUACCAAGGCGACGAUCCGUAACUGGUCUGAGAGGAUGAUCAGUCACACUGGAACUGAGAAACGGUCCAGACUCCUACGGGAGGCAGCAGUUGGGAAUAUUGGACAAUGGGCGAAAGCCUGAUCCAGCCAUGCCGCGUGUGUGAAGAAGGUCUUCGGAUUGUAAAGCACUUUAAGUUGGGAGGAAGGGCAGUAAGUUAAUACCUUGCUGGUUUGACGUUACCAACAGAAUAAGCACCGGCUAACUUCGUG